Molecule: ribosomal RNA, 281 nt
Filed under: uncultured Thermanaerovibrio sp.
Lineage: Bacteria; Thermotogati; Synergistota; Synergistia; Synergistales; Synergistaceae
Description: partial 16S ribosomal RNA
Rfam family: Bacterial small subunit ribosomal RNA
Source: RNAcentral
CCCUCGCUGCCAGUUGCCAACGGGUGAAGCCGGGCACUCUGGCGGGACUGCCAUCGACAAGAUGGAGGAAGGUGGGGAUGACGUCAAGUCAUCAUGGCCCUUAUGUCCAGGCGACACACGUGCUACAAUGGCCGGCACAGCGGGAAGCGAGGCAGUGAUGCCAAGCGGAUCCCUUAAAGCCGGUCUCAGUUCGGAUUGAAGUCUGCAACUCGACUUCAUGAAGCUGGAAUCGCUAGUAAUCGCAGAUCAGCCAAGCUGCGGUGAAUACGUUCCCGGGCCUU